AGAGAGAGAGAGGUAGAUGUAGAGAGAGAGAGUUGGAGGUAGAGAGAGAGAGAGUAGAGGUAGAGAGAGAGAGGUCGAGAGAGAGAGGUAGAGAGAGAGAGGUAGAGGUAGAGAGAGAGAGUUAGAGGUAGAGAGAGAGAGGUAGAGGUAGAGAGAGAGAGGUAGAGAGAGAGGUAGAGGUAGAGAGAGUUAGAGGUAGAGAGAGAGUUAGAGGUAGAGAGAGAUAGGUAGAGGUAGAGAGAGAGAGGUAGAGGUAGAGAGAGAGAGUUAGAGGUAGAGAGAGAGAGGUAGAGAGACAGAGUUAGAGGUAGAGGUAGAGAGAGAGAGUUAGAGGUAGAGAGAGAGAGGUAGAGAGAGAGAGAGUUAGAGGUAGAGAGAGAGAGGUAGAGGUAGAGAGAGAGAGGUAGAGGUAGAGAGUUAGAG
This is a long non-coding RNA of Oncorhynchus keta (chum salmon), 423 nucleotides long. RefSeq lists it as uncharacterized. The transcript has 3 exons. NCBI's taxonomy places the organism in Eukaryota, Metazoa, Chordata, Actinopteri, Salmoniformes, Salmonidae. The record is from RefSeq and is a predicted model, not a curated record.